Long non-coding RNA from Ictalurus punctatus (channel catfish), 304 nucleotides. RefSeq lists it as uncharacterized. The transcript has 3 exons. NCBI's taxonomy places the organism in Eukaryota, Metazoa, Chordata, Actinopteri, Siluriformes, Ictaluridae. The record is from RefSeq and is a predicted model, not a curated record.
AGGUGGUGUACCUGGGUUUGGCGGUGUUCCUGGAGUAGGUGGUGUACCUGGAGCUGUGCCUGGAGCAGGUGGUGUACCUGGUUUUGGUGCAGGUCCUGGAGGCUUGUAUCCCAGUGGUGCUGGUACCUAUCCGGGAGGAGCAGGAGCCAAAGCACAGAAGUAUGGCAUUGGUGUGGGUGGGCUACCUGGACUUGGAACUGGUGGGCUUGGAGCUGGUGGACGUCCAGGCUUUGGUCAGGGAGCUGGUGGACUUCCUGGGUCCGGACUUGGAGCUGGUGGACUUCCUGCAUCUGGACUUGGAACU